GAGAGCUUCCGGCCAAAUUCUCUAAAUUCUGACAAGAUUCUAGCCAAAUUUCUACUUUUUAUUCAAGGAAACCUACUUUUCUACCCUAAUACUUAGGUCCUCGCUUUUUUUGCGCUUUGCGCCUAGGCCCCAGGCGAGACCUAUGCGCCUUGAGUGCGCCUAGCGCCUUUAAUAACUAUGGAGUUAAGCCAUCUUGCUUGUGAAGCCUUUGCAGUCGAUGUAACAAAUUCACCAAGAACACGAUAACUAGACGGGUCUGUGGGACACUUCCCAAGCCCGAUUAAACUGGCCCGUUUGGCCCCAAAACCCGAAACUCUAAUAACAAUAGACUGUCCGGCCAUUCCAAUGAAAGCUUCCUCUUCACAUACUUCGGACAACAAUCCACCCAGUUUAGAAUCAAGUUUUUUAAAGACAUCGAAAUGGACAGCGACGAUCUAAUUCCAGGAUACCUUAUACAUGAAAGUUAUGAAGACACACCGAAAGCUUUUGAUCAAUCAGAUCAUUCUGCAAAAGAAAUCA
RNAcentral lists this long non-coding RNA (519 nucleotides) under Helianthus annuus (common sunflower). Lineage: Eukaryota; Viridiplantae; Streptophyta; Magnoliopsida; Asterales; Asteraceae. The record is from RNAcentral.